RNAcentral lists this ribosomal RNA (254 nucleotides) under uncultured bacterium. RNAcentral's name for it is "partial 16S ribosomal RNA". It matches the Rfam family "Bacterial small subunit ribosomal RNA", at positions 524 to 776 of the family's 1533-position model. The record is from RNAcentral.
UACGUAGGGGGCAAGCGUUGUCCGGAUUCAUUGGGCGUAAAGAGCGUGUAGGCGGCCAGGUAGGUCGGUUGUGAAAACUGGAGGCUCAACCUUCAGAGGUCGACCGAAACCAUCUGGCUAGAGUCCGGGAGAGGAGAGUGGGAUUCCUGGUGUAGCGGUGAAAUGCGCAGAUAUCAGGAAGAACACCCGUGGCGAAAGCGGCUCUCUGGAACGGUACUGACGCUGAGACGCGAAAAGCGUGGGGAGCAAACAGG